This 498-nucleotide ribosomal RNA is filed under the name uncultured bacterium. Its description in RNAcentral is "bacterial SSU rRNA". It matches the Rfam family "Bacterial small subunit ribosomal RNA", at positions 28 to 517 of the family's 1533-position model. The record is from RNAcentral.
GAUGAACGCUGGCGGCGUGCCUAAUACAUGCAAGUCGAACGAGGUGCUUUUGUAGCAAUACGAGAGUAUCCUAGUGGCGAACGGGUGAGUAACGCGUGGAUGACCUGCCCCAAAGUGUGGGAUAACAGUCCGAAAGGAUUGCUAAUACCUCAUGUGGUUAUCGGUUUUAGAAAGCGAUAACUAAAGCAGCAAUGCGCUUUGGGAGGGAUCUGCGUCCCAUCAGCUAGUUGGUGAGGUAACGGCUCACCAUGGCGACGAUAGGUAGGGGGCCUGAGAGGGUUGUCCCCCACACUGGUACUGAGACACGGACCAGACUCCUACGGGAGGCAGCAGUGAGGAAUAUUGGUCAAUGGACGCAAGUCUGAACCAGCCAUGCCGCGUGAAGGAAGAAUGUCCUAUGGAUUGUAAACUUCUUUUAUUUGGGAAGAAACCCCUCUACGUGUAGAGGGCUGACGGUACCAAACGAAUAAGCACCGGCUAACUCCGUGCCAGCAGCCG